This is a small nuclear RNA of Pelobates fuscus (common spadefoot toad), 105 nucleotides long. NCBI's taxonomy places the organism in Eukaryota, Metazoa, Chordata, Amphibia, Anura, Pelobatidae. The record is from RefSeq and is a predicted model, not a curated record.
CUGCUUUUUAGCAGCACUUAUACUCAACUUGGAACAAUACAGAGAAGGGUAUGAAGGACCCUGCACAAGGAUGGAUGGCAAAUUCCUGAAGUGUUCCAUAUUUAA